RNAcentral lists this ribosomal RNA (1312 nucleotides) under metagenome. RNAcentral's name for it is "bacterial LSU rRNA". It matches the Rfam family "Bacterial large subunit ribosomal RNA", at positions 1609 to 2925 of the family's 2925-position model. The record is from RNAcentral.
CUAGAAAAGAUUUUUCAUAUGUCUUACUCGCCCGUACCGUAAACCGACACAGGUGGGUGAGUGUAAAUGCACUAAGGCGCGCGAGAGAGACCUCUCUAAGGAACCCGGCACAUUAGCCUCGUAACUUCGGGAAAAGAGGUGCUCACUUCGGUGAGCCACAGUAAAUUGCGUUUAGCGACUGUUUAACAAAAACACAGCACUCUGCUAAGUCGUUAAGACGACGUAUAGGGUGUGACACGUGACCAAUGCGGAAAGAUUAAGGCAUUUUGUUAGCCGCAAGGCGAAGCUCGGUGCCAAAGUCCCCGUGAAUGUCGACCGUAACUAUAACGGUCCUAAGGUAGCGAAAUUCCUUGUCGGGUAAGUUCCGACCUGCACGAAUCGUGUAACGACUGAACGACUGUCUCGGAGAGGAUCUCGGCGAAACUGUAACUGCGGUGAAGAUGCCGCAUGCCCGCAGUAGGACGGAAAGACCCUAUGCACCUUUACUGUAAGCUGGUAUUGUGUUCUGAUUAAUAAUGCGUAGCGUAGGUGGGAGGCUUUGAAGUGAGUGCUUCGGUGCUCAUGGAGCCGCAAUGUGAAACACCACUCUUUGCUAAUUAGGAUCCUAACCUCGAUUCCUGUCAACCAGGCGAGGGACAGUGCUUGCGGGUCAGUUUGACUGGGGCGGGUUCCUCCCAAAAGAGUAACGGAGGAGCGCGAAGCUUGGCUCAGCACGGUUGGCAACCGUGCGUCGAGCGUAUGGGUAUAAGCCAGGUUAACUGUGAGACCUACAAGUCGAGCAGAUGCGAAAGCAGGCCCAAAUGAUCCGAUGGUUUAAUGUGGAAUUGCCAUCGCUCAACGGACAAAAGGUACGCUAGGGAUAACAGGCUGAUCGGUUCCAAGAGUUCACAUCGACGAACCGGUUUGGCACCUCGAUGUCGGCUCAUCGCAUCCUGGGGCUGGAGAAGGUCCCAAGGGUCCGGCUGUUCGCCGGUUAAAGCGGUACGCGAGCUGGGUUCCGAACGUCGUGAGACAGUUCGGUCCUUAUCCACUGUGGGCGCAGGAAUCUUGAGGGGUUCAUUCUCUAGUACGAGAGGACCGAGAAUGACGCACUUCUGGUGUGGCAGUUGUUCCAUCAGGGGCAUCGCUGCGUAGCCAUGUGCGGAAGAGAUAAGCGCUGAAAGCAUCUAAGUGCCAAGCUCAUCCCAAGAUAUGGAUUCCCGGACGCAAGUCCCUAAAGACCCCCGGCAGACUACCGGGUUGAUAGGUCAGGCAUGUAAGCGUCGCGAGAUGUUUAGUGGACUGAUACUAAUUGGUCGUGCGGCUUGAUCGC